This 97-nucleotide ribosomal RNA is filed under the name Salmonella enterica subsp. enterica serovar Infantis. Lineage: Bacteria; Pseudomonadati; Pseudomonadota; Gammaproteobacteria; Enterobacterales; Enterobacteriaceae. The record is from RNAcentral.
GGGUCCCACCUGACCCCAUGCCGAACUCAGAAGUGAAACGCCGUAGCGCCGAUGGUAGUGUGGGGUCUCCCCAUGCGAGAGUAGGGAACUGCCAGAC